CUGCCGUCGUCGUCGCUUGUCGGUGCCGUUUGUUGCUGCGCGGGGUUUUUUUUGGAUAGCUUCAAAUUGGAAUAUAUAUUUGUUAAGCAACCGUAGCAAGAAGUACAUAGAAAAAAACCCGAAAAUAUAAUUUCACUGUGAUUUUGUCGGUUAUUUGGACAGAAAUACCAUUUUGUGAAUGCAAAAAAGCCGAAUGCGCAACGAGUUCGCGUCAAACACAUACAUACACACAUACACUCACUGCGCCAGCCACCUACAAUUGAUACAUAAAUACACGUGAAUUGCGAAUGCAUACAAGAAAGAUACAAAUAGAAAAAAUUCUAAGCAGAAGAAAAAAUUGUUAGUGUAGUGAAGUGAAGUAAAGUGAAGUGAAGGGGAAGGCUGAAUUAGUAGUGGUGACCUGUGCGCCUAUAUAGCGGUUGUUGUUGUUGUUGCUUUCUAUACGUGCGUGCGUGUGUGUGUGUGUGUUACCCUCCCCCAUAUUGCAGGCGCUAGUGUGAAGAGCAUAGCAGUAUUUCUCGCAAUGGGUAAACAAAAAAUCUACUGUGCAAAAUGCACAAAGAAAUGCUCCGGCGAGGUGCUGCGCGUGGCUGACAAUCAUUUCCACAAGGCGUGCUUCCAGUGCUGCCAGUGCAAGAAAUCCCUGGCCACGGGCGGCUUCUUUACCAAGGAUGGCGCCUACUAUUGCAUACCGGACUAUCAGCGGAUGUAUGGCACAAAGUGUGCCACCUGUCAGCUGUAUGUGGAGGGCGAGGUGGUCAGCACCAUGGGCAAGACGUACCAUCAGAAAUGCUUCACUUGCUCCAAGUGCCAGCUGCCAUUCAAGUCCGGCAGCAAGGUGACCAACACCGGCAAGGAGGUGCUCUGCGAGCAGUGUGUCACGGGCGGAUCGGCCGUCACGUCGCCAACGACGGCGGCAGCUCGGCCCGCAUCUGUUGCGUCGCCGGCGCCGCCGGCGGAGAGUCCCACACGGGCGACUGCCCAUCAGCAGGUGACGAGCGGUGUGCUGUCGCAUAAGGCGCAUCUAAAGGAGGACUAUGAUCCGAAUGAUUGCGCCGGCUGCGGCGAGCUGCUGAAGGAGGGCCAGGCGCUGGUCGCUCUGGACAGGCAGUGGCACGUCUGGUGCUUCCGCUGCAAGUCCUGCAAUGCGGUGCUCAAUGGCGAGUAUAUGGGCAAGGAUGGGGUGCCAUAUUGCGAGAAGUGCUAUCAGAAGAGCUUCGGCGUCAAGUGCGCCUACUGCAAUCGCUUCAUUAGCGGCAAGGUGCUCCAGGCCGGCGACAACCAUCACUUCCAUCCGACCUGUGCCCGCUGCACCAAGUGCGGCGAUCCGUUUGGCGAUGGCGAGGAAAUGUACCUGCAGGGCAGCGCCAUCUGGCAUCCGCGCUGCGGUCCCGGUCCCUCCGAGUCCGGCAUCAUACUGAACGGUUCCGGCGGCGCCAGGCCGGGCACCACAUCCGUCACCGGCGGCGUCUCCAAUGGCAACUUUACAGACACCGAAUGCGAUCGCAUGAGCUCCAGUGCGCUUAGCGACAUGUACAUCCGUUCCAGAACACCGAGUUUUAAUGGUUCACUUUAUUCCUCUAGCCGCAAGCACUAUCGCACCGUCAGCCCGGGUCUGAUACUGCGCGAGUACGGCCGGCCGAUUGGCGAGGAUAUAUCGCGCAUCUAUACCUAUAGCUAUCUGACAGAUGCACCGCAUUAUCUGCGCAAGCCGAUCGAUCCGUACGACAAGACGCCACUGUCGCCGCAUUUCCAUAGGCCGGCCUCCUAUGCGACGACCAGCAAUGCGGGCUCCGUGGCCGGCAGCCGGCCGCCAUCGCGUCCACAUUCGCGCACGCGCAGCGCCAUGAAGGUGCUGGUGGAUGCCAUACGCUCGGAGACGCCGCGUCCGAAGAGUCCCGGCAUGAACAACGAGGAGCCCAUUGAACUGUCGCACUAUCCGGCGGCCAAGAAGCCGCCACCGGGCGAGCAACCCAAAAUCGAAAGAGAUGAUUUCCCGGCACCGCCCUAUCCCUAUACGGAUCCGGAGCGCAGGCGGCGCUACAGCGACACCUACAAGGGUGUGCCCGUAUCGGAUGACGAUGAUGAGGACAACGAGAACGGCAAGCGAACCAAUGGCAAGGUCAAAAAUGGCGAGGAGCAGUCACGUCUGCAUCGGGAGGCCGAGCAACUGGAGAAGCUUAACUCGGGCAUUUGCUCGGUCAUUGCCAAGGACCUUAAGGAGCACGCCAAGUACAGGAAAUGGAAGCAAAACAAUCUGGAUCCGCGCAAUGCCUCGCGCACGCCUUCAGCCUCCAAGGAGCCGGUAUAUAAGUUGAGAUACGAAUCGCCCAUUGGCGCCUCGCCGUCGCGCAAUCUGGAUCAUCAGAAGCCCUUCUACGAGGAUGAGAUGUUCGAUCGAUCCACCAGCUAUCGCGGCUCACUGGGCAAAUCGCUGGGCAAUGCGCCCAGCUACAAUGGACUUCUCGUAUGGAGGUCUGGGCGACAAAACGCACAGCACGGACUUGAGCUGCGGCAAAUCAGAGGCUUCGGUGGACUCAAUUACUGAGGGCGAUAGGCGCGCUCUGAUGGGCGGUGAGUUGCCCGCCUCGAGCACAUACUCGGGCGCCUUGUCCUAUCAUUAUCCGCAGGCAGGACUCAUUAGACGCAGCCUGCCCAAUAUGGCGCACUCGAUGCUGGUGCACGAGCCGGCCAAGAUCUAUCCGUAUCACAUAUUGCUUAUAACGAACUAUCGUCUACCAUCCGACGUUGAUCGCUGCAACUUGGAGCGUCAUUUGUCCGACAUCGAGUUCGAGCACAUCUUGCAGUGCGCCAGAUCUGAGUUCUACAGGCUGCCCCAGUGGAGGCGCAAUGAGCUGAAGCGACGCGUGAAGCUCUUCUAAAUGGCUGACCGCUUACCCGAGCGAGCUCCAGCCUGCGACGAAACCAAAACAAUUACCUAAACUUUUUGAGUGGUUCUUAACUAUUAAACAAUGGCAGCAAAUGGCCUGAAACAAUAACAAAAAAAAAACAAAAAUAUAAGAAAAACUAUGCUAAUUUCACAGCCAGUUUUCGAAACACGCUUUAAAUAUAUAGUUGAAACAUAAAGAAACAAAAAAACAAGCAACAAAAAAAAAAAUGAAAAAUAGUUACAUUUGAAGUACGGACUGCGCCACACGUCAGCUCCAGUUUAUUUUUUUAAGCAUUAGUUGCGCUGAUACUAUUUAAAUUCUAUAAGAAAACCAAAACUUGAAACAUCAUCGGCAUCGGCCGAAGUUAAAAUACCCUAGCAGAACUACUUAAGCAUUUAAGAACCUAAGUCUGCCAAUUAGAGUCCGAUAUUGUAAGAUGAAACUUUCAAUCUAAUCUACGACCAGCCCAAGCUAGAGGAGCUCUGCGAGGGUAGCCCAGAAAUGUAUACAAAUUGCAAUUAGUUAAAACACUCUGGCAAAGCUUUUUAUAUAAUUAAAGAAUACUACAGCGGCUAAUCCCCGAGAGGAGUGCAUCAAAGAAAGAGAAAUAAAUGUACCUACUUACAAAUUCAAGAGUAUAA
RNAcentral lists this unclassified non-coding RNA (3532 nucleotides) under Drosophila virilis. Its description in RNAcentral is "GJ14297". Lineage: Eukaryota; Metazoa; Arthropoda; Insecta; Diptera; Drosophilidae. The record is from RNAcentral.